AAUUGUUUAUUUCUAAAAAUUUCCACUUUAUGUUUUUGGACUGCAGAUAACUGUGGGCAACUGACAUUAUAGAAAAUAAAACUGUGCAGGGGGACCUGCAAUAUAAGAGCUGAAGUGCAUGGAUAUAUCCAACUGGAAAAUCUUGGUUGGCAUGAUGGGGAAAAUUGGAACCUAACAUCUAUCGCUUACCCUUGGUGGAGGUCACAGACUAGUUCUCUCAGUUCAAACCCUCUGAUCUGCUCAAAAGACCAGAGAACCCAUCCUUGAGGUUAUGAAGAGAUUCCCAGUGGACUUGGUAAAUGCACCAAGCUGGGAAAGGAUAUUAGGGACUGUUUUAUUCAAUGCUCUCAAUUUGCAGAGUUCAGAGAGGGUGAACCACUAACCCAUAGUCACACAGCAGUCUGUGGCUAAGCUGGGUUUGGGAUGGUGUUCUUUUCAUUCUGACAGUGGGCUAUUUCCUAACUGGAGGUAGAGUUGUGCUGUCAUCCCAAUUUGUAAAAAUGAACUGGAAACAGGAUCAUUGCCCCUCAGAUUGAUGACUCCCAUCUGAUGACAACCCAUGGCCAGGGGUCCUCAGGCCCUUCUAGAGGAAGAUCCAGCCGGCGCCCCUCCUCCUUUUCUUUCUCAGCCAUCUGAACCACUUUCUUGAGGAAGGGUGAAAAAUUACUAAAUCGAUCUUUUUAAAUUAACCCGGAUCUGAACCAGAGGCAUUUGGAAGAGGAGAACUUUUUCACCCCCGUGGCUGCCCACCCCCACCCCGGAUGAAGUGCUCCCUUGUUCCCGCGGCUCUGCCCCAGAUUCAUGGGCUGCUUUCCGAAUGGUUGGCAGUCUCCUCCGCACUGUCCUGACAACCCUCGGCCAUGAAAUUAAAAAGCUAGUCACCGCAUCUUGCUCCCCAUGGCCUGGUCCCUGCCAGCCCUGCGACGGAGAUGGGGAGAGGGAGCCUGGGCUUGGCCUGCAGUGGGCUGGGAUGCCUCCGGAAUGACAAUGGGAGCCAGGGAGGGGGACAUUAGCCAGGAAGGAACCACUGAAAGAAGACAGGGGAACGAAGAGUGGACUGUGGGCUUCCCCCCGAAGAGUUCCCGGGAGCUUCAGGCCAAUACCAGCUCCCAUUGCUGCCGGGCGCCUGCCCACACCAGCCCCUGGUGCAGGGGGAUGGCUGAGAGCUGGCACUGGAGGGAGGAAGGGCUCCAAACUGGGGCCAUCCCUGGGAGGCCAGCUGCCCUCUGCCCUGGCCCUCCUGAGCCCCCAGAUGCGGACACCAGCACUCAGGUCACACAAUGCCCCUUCCCCAGGAAUUUUAAGGAAUCCUCUAACCCAGAGGGAUUUUAGUCAUCCUUAAUUAAGAAGCUUCCUAGAAGACCACUGUGGUGGGGCUCACGGUGACACAGGUGUCCCUGAGCCCCAGGAGAAGUCUUGGUCUCCUUGCCCUGGGGUCCAGCCCUGGACUCUGGGACACACCCCAAGCGAGGUCAGCAGGUGCUUGAGGGCAAAGCCCCAGGAGAGGGCUUGGCUCCAGCUUUUGCUGACAUCAUGAGGCAGGUGGCAGGAGAGGCCUGGGCGCUCAGUCUCGGGACCAGCAGGGAGAAGUUGCAGCCGCAGCUCCGUGAGGGCUUGGCCGGGGCACUGCCCCCCCCUGCUUCCCCUCUGCAUCUGCCUCCUUGUCUUGAAAGCAAGAGUCGCCACGGUGGCCGCUCAGAGGUCGCUGGUGGCUUUAACAAGGCGGUGUGCGCGAAGUGCCGGUCGACGUCAGCGCUAGGUCCCCGUGAGUCUUGGGACAGUGUCCAGCAAUGGCUGGACAGGCCGGGCAGUGAGGGGACUGGGCUGCUGUGGGGACCUGCUAUGAACUGAGCACACGCCUUCUUCACUCAUGCAAAGGUCGGCCGGGUGCCUUCCACGUGCUGGGGCCGUGACAGCAAGCCCAAGGUGACACUGUCAGUUUGUGGUGCUUUCAAGGCAGUGACAAGCCAAUCUGUGAACAAACAAUCAGGCUCAAAGCCCCGUCAGGUAGUGAUAAGCAGGUGGUCGGGGCAGGCCUGGCUGGGGACCCAGGAGGUGACAGGAAGGUGCCAGCCACGCCCAGACACAGGAGAGGCACCCAGGGAGGCUGGGACAGCCCCAGGCAGAGGGAAUAACCUGGCCAGACUGGGAGGUCACUGCUGAUGGACAGCAGGAUGGGGCUGGCGGGGGGCCGGAGGAGGCCCUGCAGGACUUCGGGCUGCUUCCUGAGGGCUCUGGAUGCCACCGCCACCGGGGAGUCAUCUCACACUGUUAGGGGCGGGAGAGGUCUGGGUGAAGGAGCGGCUCACAGAGCAACCCAGAUGACGGAUUCCAACGUGACAGGUUCAGACUCCACAUGGCAAUGACCAGAAGUCACUUGUCAAGUUUUAGUGUUUACCCAAGAAGAAUGUCCAUGAUUCUCGAGAGGAUGUUAAAAUGCUUCUACCUUUUCCAGCUCCCUGUGUGUGUGAGACCAGCUCUUCUUCAUCCUGCCAGCAACGAAAUAAGGUGUCGAACCCGUCUGAAGGCGGCGGACGUGGGACUGCAGCUGGCUUUGAUGGAGCUCCUGGCUUUGAUGGAGCUCCACAUUCAAAGGACUUGGGAACACGCACCGCAGGCCACACUGCUCACAGGAGGUCUCCAUCCUGUAAAGUGGUUUAUUUUCGUGAAAAUGUGUUGUGUAUUAACAUAUAAUGGAUUUAUAAUUGUGAGUUUUGAAUGAAUGAAUACGUAUUUGUGUAAUCUUCAGUUUUAAUUUCCUUUUGGUCCUGGGGACUGAACUCAGGGGCACUGGACCACUGAGCCACAUCCCCAGCCCUAUUUUCUAUUGAAUUUAGAGACAGGGUCUCACUGAGUUGCUUAGUGCUGAGGCUGGCGUUCAAUUUGUGAUCCUCCUGCCUCAGCCUCCUGAGCCUCUGGGAUUACAGGAGUGUGCCCUUGUGCCCAGCCCGGUUUUUAAUUUCUUAUAUGAAAUUAAAAGAAGCUCUUUGGGGUCUUCAAUAAUGUUUAAGAGUGUAUAGGGGGCCUGAGAACAAAGAACUUGGUUGUCUCUGGCCCAGCUCAUGGCCUGGCACAUAGUAGGUGCUCACUAAGUAGAUGUGGUGUCCAGGCCUUUGGGGGGUGAUGACUGGCCCUGCGGCCUGGUUCUGGUGGGCCCACUUAUCAUUAUGCCCACUUAUGAUUAUGCUAAUGAAAUACAUUUAUAAGGAAAAAAAAUUUAUUGAGCUCAUAGUUUUGGAAGCUAAAAAUCCCAAAGCCCAAGGUCCCAAGGGGGAUGGCAAGAGCACCUGAGGAGAUCAAAUCUCAAAAAGAGGAAGCCCGAGAGACUGCACCCUCUAUGCCCUUGAGGACACCCAGCGACCUACAGACCUCCCACCUGGCCACGCCUCUUCAGAGCCCCACCACUUCCACUGCACACCCAGGACCAGUCGUCCAUUGGCACUUCUUUGGGUAGACAGAUGUCCAGAUCACAGCCGCCUGCUCCCGUGCUCCUGGAAGGACCAUGUCUGGGUGCCUGGUCACCUGCUCCUGGGUGUCUGCGUGGGGCUGACCUGGUGACCUUGGCUGUCCUUGGAGCUGAAUUCUCUGUAGCGGUUAUGCUAAGCGGGAUUGCCCGAGGGUUGCCCGUGAGCCCUCUCCCCCACCCCAGGUCACCUCUGCAGACUGUGGCUGGGAUCCCAUGCGCUUUCUGCCUGGUGGCUGGGUCCAGGCCACACUGGGAAGCCUGUGGAAUUGCUGAGACAGUAAUUUGCAAUUAAAUUUCAGAAAUGUUAGGGGUCAUGUCUGGGGCAGAUGUGGGCUAUUUUUAAAGAUGGGCCCUUUCAGAAGGGAGCAAAGGUGGCCCUCUCACCCCUCUGGCCUUUUUCGGCCGGGCCCAGGAGGGCCACCUGCCGGGGGGCGGCAAGGGAAAUGCUGAUCUUGCUCUUCUUGCUCAAAGGCAGACAGAGGUGAGGGAGCAGAGCCAAUCUAAUCUCCCCCCUCCUUCCUUUCUCGGUCCCCCAGAUCC
This 4006-nucleotide long non-coding RNA is filed under the name Marmota monax (woodchuck). The record is from RNAcentral. Lineage: Eukaryota; Metazoa; Chordata; Mammalia; Rodentia; Sciuridae.